Molecule: ribosomal RNA, 483 nt
Filed under: uncultured bacterium
Lineage: Bacteria
Description: partial 16S ribosomal RNA
Rfam family: Bacterial small subunit ribosomal RNA
Source: RNAcentral
AUUGAACGCUGGCGGCAGGCCUAACACAUGCAAGUCGAGCGGAUGAAGGGAGCUUGCUCCUGGAUUCAGCGGCGGACGGGUGAGUAAUGCCUAGGAAUCUGCCUGGUAGUGGGGGAAACGUCCGGAAACGGGCGCUAAUACUUCCUACGUCCUGGGGGAGGAAGUGGGGGAUCUUCGGACCUUACGCUAUCAGAUGAGCCUAGGUCGGAUUAGCUAGUUGGUGGGGUAAAGGCCUACCAAGGCGACGAUCCGUAACUGGUCUGAGAGGAUGAUCAGUCACACUGGAACUGAGACACGGUCCAGACUCCUACGGGAGGCAGCAGUGGGGAAUAUUGGACAAUGGGCGAAAGCCUGAUCCAGCCAUGCCGCGUGUGUGAAGAAGGUCUUCGGAUUGUAAAGCACUUUAAGUUGGGAGGAAGGGCAGUAAGUUAAUACCUUGCUGUUUUGACGUUACCAACAGAAUAAGCACCGGCUAACUUCGUG